UGAGGACCCGGCCUUCGCAGUCUACAUGGGUCGGGUCCUCCGAAGACCAAGAAGGCUGGUAGUGAGCGGCUGUGAAAUUGGACGGUCCAGCCUUCAGAUCUGCAUCACCGCUGUCUCGGUGGAGUUUAAUAAACUCAGCCGUCUGCUCCUUGCUGUCUAAAAUAUAACAGGACACUGGAGUAAACUCGACCGUCUCACACUUCUGUUUAAUCAGUUUUCUGUUUGACGUUUAUUCAGCUGUGUGAAAAUUAUAACUUUAAUCUCAGCCAAACCGAUUUACUCAGGAACAAAUAAAACACUGAAAAAAAGCCAAACAAUAACAUUGACUUAUAUAUCACAUUUAACCUGAAUAGUGAAAGACCGCGGGGGGUUAGAAAACGAUGAGCCGGGAGUUAUCGCCCCGGCUAGCUAUCGAGCUGGUGGGUAACAGACGUCUCCGAAAACGUCGGAGCACUUUUGCAAAUAUGUGAUGUCUUUAUUUUGUGACCGAGAAAGAUUAAUAAGAGUAAUAUUAAAACUUAGUAGCGGCCGCCAUUGUUGGAAACUGGAGUUUGGCUGGGCUGCGCUAUGAAUUCUGGGAUAUGGUGGGCCACGAAGGACACACCUGACCCAUCCUUCAAAUCUGGGGAAAAGGAGGACGCAUUUGUCGGCUGCAUUUGGAGGAGUCCAUGAAUUUGGACAGCCUUUGUCACGUCGCUGUGACGUAAUCAGCCUACAAAUGCAGCCUCAGGGGGAUGCAGCCUAUGAAUUUGGACACCCCCCAUUACUGACCUUGGGGAUCAGUUUAUUGAGUCUGUCAACCUGCUGCUCCAGCAUGCAACAGCAGAGAGGACCUCAGAGACCCUGGCUCUUCCUGUAGAGUGGAGUAGUGUUUUUAACCCAGUCCAGUUUAUUGUCUAUAUAUACUCUGAGGUAUUUAUAGUCCUCCACAACGUCCACAUCGACCCCCUGGAUUAAAACAGGGGUCAAGGGUUUUCCUGGUCUUCCUAAAGUCCACAAUCAUUUCGUUGGUCUUUGUAAGUAAGCACAGGAUUGUAACCAUGUUGCUGAUGUCCUCAUGGAUGUUUGUUGUUUAAUCCCUGAUAGCGGGUCUCACACUCAGUAGUCCUCGGCCUCCAUCCUUCCACUCAGCGUUUCAGGGGAUCCAGAUUUGGGGAGAAAUUUCCCCUUGUGGGACUAAUAAAGAUAUAUCAAAUCAAAUCAAAUCAAACCAUCCACACCAGGAGCUUUCUUUUCUUGGUGUCACUGGCUUCUGUUGGUGGCCCGGAUCUUGUUCUUCCCAUUCAGCUGACUCCUCAGGACCUGCCUUACUCUCUGCAGGUAUUUGGUAGUUGCAACUUUGAUAGCAGCCUCUUCAUGGUUUGCCUGUGGGAUUCCAAGGUUGUGUCAUCAAUGUCUGCACUGCUGCCCUCCGGUAGUGCAGUUUCCUCAGUUUUGACUUCCUUCUCUCUCUUUGUGACCAUCUGACUACACUUCCACAGUGCGACUAACAUUUGCAGCUGUAUAUCCUACAUUUGUCAGAUGUGGACAAAUUUCUGAUAAACUUCUCCAAAGGAAUGUUGUCUGAGGUGGUGCUUAACAUGUUUAACUGACUGAGAAGCUGGAAAUGAUUAAAAAAGGUUUCGCAAAGACUUUCAUGCUCAGUAUUGAUGGUAAUCACAUUUAUAUGACAGUGAUAUAGUAUUUACAUUAGCUUAUAUUUAUGUUUAUUUGCCAUGUCUCAAUACAAAUAGUAGUUUAGGCAGAGCAGCAUUUCCCAUUUUCCAUAUACUCCACCACUGUCACCUGGACCCACACCACCAUCGCCCUGGUAAAGAAGGCCCAGUAGCGGCUGCACCUCCUCCGUGUCCUGAGGAAGAAGAACCUGGACACGGAGCUGCUGCUGACCUUCUACCCUCCUCAGUGGAGAGCGUGCUCUCCUCCUGCCUGCUGUUGCUACUCUGGGUCCACGACUGAGAGCAGGAAGGCUGCACAGAGGGUCAUUAACACCACCCAAAACAUCAGUGGCUGCUCUCUGCCACCCCUGGAAGCCAUCUCCAGAUUCUCCUGUCUCAGUUUCACCCUUUUGAAUGUCAGUAAACCUGUUGACAACACUCAUCGGUCUUCAGAGUGGUGAUAUAAGAAAGGUUCUAACGCCCCUGCAUAAGACAUGCACCCAUAACGGCACAGCCUCUGUUCAGUUUCCUGUAAAUCACGUGGGAAUAAUGUGAGUUAACACCACGGACUGGAGGCCCUCCCCCAGUCCUCCCUUUGCUCUCUGCAGCCUGCUGUACAUGAGCACCGGCAGAAGAACCCAGCACAUGAAGAAGAUUUGACUCUCUGCAAGGAUUGAAGUCUUUGAGCUCAGGGUUGAGACUCCUAGCUUGAACCAUGGGGAACCUCCCUACGAUACAUAAUGAAACCCCCUACACAUUUCACUACUGUAUUAUUGGGAGAGAGGGUGUGCAUACAGUGCAUGGCAACAGCACAGGAGAGUCCCUGCAAGCACCAUUUUGGAUUGCAUUACCAUUUCGGGGUGCAUUACUACCAUUUUGGGGGCUCUCCUUUAGAUAUGGAGAUCACUCAGAAAGUGACCUCACUGGUGCAGGUGAUGGCGCUUCGUACACCAUAAGAGAGAGUAAAGAUCACAAGGAAUUUGAACUGGUCUCCAAGAUGUGGCAUAGAGUUGUUGUUGUUGACCGUUGUCCCAACUUUGGCAGAAUUGAUGAAGAGAAACGGCAACAAGAGGAGCGACGCAGGAAAGAAGAAGACGAGAAAAGGCGUCAGGCAGAGCUUGAGCAACAGAGGAAGAUCCAAGAGCAGAUGGAAAAGGAGAACGAAACAUUGAGAAAAAAGCACAAUGAAGCACACAACAGGCUUCAGGAGGAGGAAGACCUCAAAACCUGGAAGCACCGUCAGCAGCACUCUCAAGUUCUACACCAGCUCUUGGAAGAUAAAGCACAUCACAUAGAGAGAGAUGAGGUCACUGAUGUGAAUGAGAAGUUUGAAAAACUUCUAUCAAAGUAUGACAUCAGAGAGGAUGAACAUUUACAGAUCCAGCUGGAAGACAGGAUGAAGACUCUCCAAAAUAAGCUGACAUUACAAUAUUUUCAUGAGCACCCCCACUUCAUCCCCACUUCGUUACUGUGGGCUUUGGAUCAGACUACUGGAUAUGUGCUGCUGUCUCUGACUGAGAGGUUCAACAUCCUGGAGGCAGUGCUGAAGGUGACCUUAGAGGGUGACCCUGAUGUUGAAGAUCUCCAAAAUGGACAAGACAAGAAGACAGAGUUCCUCCUCAGUUUGCAGGAACAGCUACAUGCUGAAAAUCCAACACUGGCCCAACAGGUGUUAGCAAAUGUUCUGGAUCUGUCCUCAAAACUACCCCGAUCAGGUAAGGAGAUCAUCAGUCAAAUAGUGUUCAAUAAUAUCUGGGCACCAAAAGACAUCAAGCUUUUCCUUGGCAAGACCUUAAGCAUGGAUCAGAAAACAGUCACAAAAAUCCUCCACAAAGCGUGCACGUACGGGCUGAGCUGUGGCGACGCUCUCUCUGCCCUGAAUGAAGACGAUCCUGCAGAGUACAUCCAACAUUGUGUGGACAAAGCUGAGCGAGACAAAGAUGCUUACACACUUUUGGCUGAAAUGGAAAACAAAAACUUUCCAGAGUAUGUCCUGUCACUCCUGCGAGAAGUCCUGACAUAUAUUGAAGAAGAGCUACCCAAAUAUGGACGUGUGCCCAUUAACAGGGAGAUGAUUGAAGACUGUAAAAAGAUAAUAACUGCUCUUGAUUUUAACAGUCCUAAGAUUGAUGAUCUGAAGAAAGUCCUGAUCAUCGUAUCCAGAGCUGUAAAGGAAUGCACCACCUUUACCACUCAGAGCGGUGAACAUGUUCAGGGCUACUUCCCAAGACUCAGUCAGCUGGCAUCACUGCUGCUGCUCCUGCUGCCACAUUCUGGGGAUAAGAAAGGUUGUCUGUUGGAAAUCAGCACUGGAGAGGGCAAAACUUGUAUUUUAGCCAUGUUUGCUACAAUACAGGCCACCCGAGGCAUAAAGGUGGACAUUGUGACAAGCUCUCCUUUGUUAGCAAGUCGUGAUCAGGAUAAGUGGAGAAAAUUAUAUGAUGUGUUUGGUAUUACAUCAUCCACGGUCCCUCCAACACACAUCAAUAGCUGCUCUUUUAAAGAUCAUGACAAGCUGCUUGAGGAUGCAUACAGCCAGCAGGUCGUUUAUGGUACAGUUGGUACGUUUGCAGCAGAUACACUGAGGCAAGAGUUUGAGAAGAAGACUACCCGAGGUCCGAGGAAGUUUGAGUGUGUGGUAGCAGAUGAGGUGGACUACAUGACGUUGGACAGUGGUGUCCAGGUCACGUUCCUGUCACACCAAGCCAGUAGCCUAAGGCACAUGGAGCAAGUCCUGGCAAGCAUCUGGGCCAUGAUGUCGUCCUGCAAGCCAAUAGAAAUGUUUGAAACGGGGGAGAUCAGGUGGGGAACCAGGAUCCAGCACUUCCACAAGGCUGUAAUGCAAGCAGUGGUUGGCUCAGAAUCAGAAGAUGUUUCAGCUGCUGACAUACUUGUUCUUGGUGCCCAGCUGGGGUUUUAUUCACAGGAGGAUGUGGAUGAAGUAAAUAACGCAGAUGGUCAGACACAAACAGAGACUGACAGCUUUAAGGAUGCCAGGUGGAAAGCUACUGAGAAAAUCAUGGCCAACAUUGGACCAAAAGAACAGUGUGAGCUACUGAGACAAGUUCAGACAAAAAUAGAAAACGGUGUAUCUGUAAAUUGUUACUCACUAAUGAACAACAAAGCCAAACUUUACAGCAAGGACAGCUCUCAUGGAGACCUUGAUGUCAGCCUGCUUCUCCUGGAGAAUGGCUGUACCUGUGAAAUCAUGUCCGAGGAAUCCAUCAUCCAAGGAGCUGUGGACAAAUUAAAAUCAACAAUUAAAUAUUCUGAUGAGUGUUCAGUGAAGUCAUUGGAUGAGUGUAAGGGAUUUAUUGUGAUCCCUCUUUUUGAAAACAUACAUUGAGAAUCAGUUACCAG
Oreochromis aureus is the source of this 5015-nucleotide long non-coding RNA. The record is from Ensembl. Lineage: Eukaryota; Metazoa; Chordata; Actinopteri; Cichliformes; Cichlidae.